GUCCCAGUUCGGACUGUAGUCUGCAACCCGACUACACGAAGCUGGAAUCGCUAGUAAUCGCGAAUCAGAAUGUCGCGGUGAAUACGUUCCCGGGUCUUGUACACACCGCCCGUCACACCAUGGGAGUCGGGAACACCCGAAGUCCGUAGCCUAACCGCAAGGGGGGCGCGGCCGAAGGUGGGUUCGAUAAUUGGGGUGAAGUCGUAACAAGGUAUC
Molecule: ribosomal RNA, 216 nt
Filed under: uncultured bacterium
Lineage: Bacteria
Description: partial 16S ribosomal RNA
Rfam family: Bacterial small subunit ribosomal RNA
Source: RNAcentral